UAAGUUAAUCGGUUCCAAAGGAUUUUUACCUGUUAGUUACAAGACGUUAACUCCAAAACAUAGAUGGGCAAGGGAGCUAAAGCUUGCCUGAGAAAAGGCUUUGCGACCUUCGGCAUCACUGAGGUUCUCGUUGGCUAAUCUUUGCACACACUGCUUCUUUCCGGAUGCUCUUGUUCACAUAAGAAAACAACGCGGCUUUUGCUUAUUGCUCAUUCAAGGUGUUCAUUGAAUCGGCAACUCUGCCCCACCCAGCUACCGAAGAGCUAGGCUGCUGAAAUCGACACCAGGGCACAGCUGCCUUGUCUGAAACUCAAGUCCAGGGAUGGUGGUGGAAGGAGAGGAGGACACUGGGAAAUCCUCACAUCUGCCACUUUGGCUCCUAUUUUGUCGGUCAGGAUGAAUCUCUUGGCUCUUUCCAACCGCUGGAGUUGGAGAACUGCUGUGUCAGUUGUGCCUGGAAGGGGAAAGAAACUGGAGAGAGAAAAUAAUUUCUGCCGCACCCCAUUCUCAGUGACCUGGAACUUUGGAUGAUUUCCUAGAACAAUGUAAGAAACUGAUCUCAAGAGGCAAAGCUAAGGCUACAUAACAGGCGUAGGUCAUGCACUGGGGCGCCGCGCCAAGGCUGGAGGCUCAGAGUGAGGAGCCUCAGAGAUCUGUAAGCCAGUCAGAAAGCAAGGGCCAACGUCCUGAGAAAGUCCUCCUGUGGCCAGGACCCAGCUGUCUCGAGGUCUGCUUUAGCUGACCUUGUUUUCGUAUGAAGUGGGACUGUACCCUCAAAGCAUGUUGAAUGGAUCGGAUCACUUGACAUCUGAAACCCAAAUUCCAGAAUUCUCACCAUAUGUAUGUGGUGCCCAAAGAUGUCAGAAGAGGACAUCUGAUCUCUCGGGAAUAGAGUGACAGUUACCAUCUUUGUUCCAAUCAACUCAUCUUUUGCCAGUGAAAGGUGCUUUCGGUUGGCCAUUGGAUUCUUCUGUCGUGGUUCUUAUAAGUAAGCCUUUAUAGUUUAUAUCUGAAGUGGCCACAUAUUCUGAACAUAUCAUGUCUCAAUCUGGACUUGGAGUUGGCCAUCUUCCUAGGGACUUCCGAUCCCUUUCCACAGGAAGUAGUAUUGGAGAUGACAGCCUGAUUACUGCGAGUUCCCUGACACCAGUUGGGACACUAUUUUUAGCACUUAAAACAGACAGAGAUAGAAAUAUUUUUAAGAUGGAACAUAUUCCUAGCACAGAGGAGAGGAACACUGGAGGUGUCCAAUGCCCUGGUCUGCUGAGGAGAGAAACACUGGAGAUGUCCAAUGCCCUGGUCUGCUGAGGAGAGGAACACUGGAGGUGUCCAAUGCCCUGGUCUGCUGAGGAGAGGAACACUGGAGGUGUCCAAUGCCCCGGUCUGCCGAGCCGUUUCUAAAGACAUGGAACAAGCAAGGGGACAAGCACUCACCUCUGAAAACAACUGCAUAGCAUCAGGCCAAGGUGGACUUUCUGAUCAGACUGGAAGGACAGAAGGGCAGAAAGACAGAAGGACAUGAUGAUGAGGACCUGUUGAUGAGUGUCACUUGUACUCUGGGUAUGGUGGAUCUCCAAGUGAAAUCUCUACAGGCAUGAGCUUUCUCCACAGAGCCUACUACAGAUUCACGAGGCGUGUAAAGAUGAGCAGCAUAAAGCCCAUUGGAUCCUAGAAGUGCUCAGGCUUUCAGAGUUUUGAUCUGUGGAGAGUCACUUGAACUGUCCCUUGGCAGUAUUUUGAAGUCAGUGGAGCAGAUCUUGACACGGGCAAAUAAGUAUGCUGCGGGUCCAAGGACCAGGAGAGCUCAUAAAAGCAUAUAGGAAUGGGA
Mastomys coucha (southern multimammate mouse) is the source of this 1828-nucleotide long non-coding RNA. RefSeq lists it as uncharacterized. The transcript has 5 exons. The record is from RefSeq and is a predicted model, not a curated record. Lineage: Eukaryota; Metazoa; Chordata; Mammalia; Rodentia; Muridae.